Molecule: ribosomal RNA, 253 nt
Filed under: uncultured bacterium
Lineage: Bacteria
Description: partial 16S ribosomal RNA
Rfam family: Bacterial small subunit ribosomal RNA
Source: RNAcentral
UACGGAGGGUGCGAGCGUUGUUCGGAAUCACUGGGCGUAAAGCGCGUGUAGGCGGUCUCCUAAGUCUGAUGUGAAAGCCCGGGGCUCACCCCCGGAAGUGCAUUGGAAACUGGUAGACUGGAGUCCCGGAGAGGAGGGUGGAAUUCCUGGUGUAGCGGUGAAAUGCGUAGAUAUCAGGAGGAACACCGGUGGCGAAGGCGGCCCUCUGGACGGUGACUGACGCUGAGAAGCGAAAGCGUGGGGAGCAAACAGG